CAAUAGCGUAUAUUAAAGUUGUUGCAGUUAAAAAGCUCGUAGUUGGAUUUGUGGCGUAUGGUGUGUUCCGGGCACUUGUUGUCUGAGUAACUUGCCAUUGCCAUCCUUGGGUGGAACCUGUGUGGCAUUAGGUUGUCGUGCAGGGGAUGCCCAUCGUUUACUGUGAAAAAAUUAGAGUGUUCAAAGCAGGCUUAUGCCAUUGAAUAUAUUAGCAUGGAAUAAUAAGAUAGGACUUUUUUGCUAUUUUGUUGGUUUGCGCGAGAAGGUAAUGAUUAAUAGGGAUAGUUGGGGGUAUUCGUAUUCCAUUGUCAGAGGUGAAAUUCUUGGAUUUUUGGAAGACGAACUACUGCGAAAGCAUUUACCAAGGAUGUUUUCAUUAA
RNAcentral lists this ribosomal RNA (380 nucleotides) under uncultured eukaryote. Its description in RNAcentral is "partial 18S ribosomal RNA". It matches the Rfam family "Eukaryotic small subunit ribosomal RNA", at positions 592 to 976 of the family's 1831-position model. The record is from RNAcentral.